RNAcentral lists this long non-coding RNA (1183 nucleotides) under Oryza sativa (Asian cultivated rice). RNAcentral's name for it is "long non-coding RNA (OSAT_LNC001039)". The record is from RNAcentral. Lineage: Eukaryota; Viridiplantae; Streptophyta; Magnoliopsida; Poales; Poaceae.
UGAUUUUGGUUGAUGCAUUGUUGCUGCUUUUGUGUUAUAUUUGUGCUAAGAAUUAAUUAUAUAAGGUUUUUCUAGAGUAUCAAGACUAGCCAUCAGCUUUUACCAUUAACUUGGAUGCAGAAACCAUUCCUUCGGAUAUUUCUUUCUUGGUGAUACUUGUUGGUAGAAUUAUCUUGUCUUCUUCCUAUGGUUAAUCUAGUUGGUUACUUCGAUUUGAACCUUAAUUAAGAGGUGAAAAGCUAUACAGAUUUAAAUUCAAUAUUGGCUUAGCUCACUUUUUUUUUUCAACAAGACCUAGCCUUGUUCUUGUUAUAUUUGCCUGCUAAUAUCAUCUCCAUUAGUGGCUAUCAAAUUAAGUUAUAGAAAAUCCAGGACCAGCCUGAUCUUCAAUAGAAAGCUUAGGUUUCUGGUUGGGCUGCUUUCGUUGGUUGAUAUGAGGCCAGUUCUAUUUCAAGUCCCUGUUGAAAAUUUCCAUCCUCACUUAAAAGUUGGAGUGCUUUUGCAGUUCCAUAUGUUGGGUUCUGGUUGUUGUAAUAUUCUCUUCUGUGACUGCAAUGCAUCGUUCUUUGAAGUCUUCCUUCACUCCUUUGCAUUUGGAGCAGGAUGGUAGGCUUGAAUUGUUAUACAUUUUUGUGAACUAUAAAAGCAUGCCAUUCAAUUUAUACCAGUGAUAGCUGGUAUAUCUCUGUUAAGAUAAACUACGAUUCUUGAUGCUGUUUCUCCAUGUUCCGCGUGUAAAUUCUUGAUUCUUCUAAUGAUCUUCUCCAUGUUCUGUGCAAAGUCAUUGCCGCAUCUCUUACAGGAACUAGGAGGAUAAAAGUUCUACUGCGCAUCAAAUACAUUGAUCAAUAUUUAUCCUCAUUUGUUACCGUUUACUCAUGCUAUUGCUAUGGCAUUCAAGUAUUCAACCUGAAUACGAAGCCUGUGCAUCAUCAGGUAACUAAAGAGACUGAUCAAAGUAACAUGUCUGAGUAACAUCAGCAGAUCAGCCCAACAACCCAUGUCAGGUUCGUUCAAUUGAUAUAUCUUCAGGUGAUUCGGAUGGUACAUUUGUACUCAUCUCCUUUAGUACUAGCUCGCUUAUAGCAUGUACAGUUAUCUUGCAAGCAAGAACAGGUUCCAUGUGUCAAAUUCUCUUCUUUUUUUUUCUCCCAAAAAAAUUAGUGCCAGAUUCUUUCAGUUG